RNAcentral lists this long non-coding RNA (37210 nucleotides) under Triticum aestivum (bread wheat). RNAcentral describes it as "long non-coding RNA (TAES_LNC024446)". The stretch from base 14571 to 14639 matches the Rfam family "tRNA". Lineage: Eukaryota; Viridiplantae; Streptophyta; Magnoliopsida; Poales; Poaceae. The record is from RNAcentral.
AACUCGAAGCAGCGGAAUAACUCUAGCAGCGGAACAACGACGACGGUGGUGAACUCCACUCCGCAGGGACUCUGGCUGGAACGCUUAUCCUAGCUCGCAAACAAGGACUCCACGGCAAACAAGCAAUCAAAUCCGGAAUGACCUGCUAACUGGCAUGACACGCCAGGUCAGUACAUUGAAUGUACUUGCAAGCUCACAAUAACCAGAAGCAUUCAAGACAAACAACAGCAUGUCAAUUACAGGUUAAGCAGGGAUUAUCAUGAGAUCAUCAGGCUAACGUGGCAUGAACAACAUGAACAUGAUACAGCUAGAACAAUAUGAGCCUGGCAUGACCAUAUAAAUCUGACGAUGCUAGCAUGCAAUAUGAUGACACUAUAUGCACCACUUAUUCUUCUCGGGUUACCUCGUAACCAUCACAUACAUCACUUACCAACCUCGGACGUCACACGAUCAUCUCAGGAUCAAAUCAAGCUUGGUAUAAACAAUACCGUAGUAAUCAUUAAAUGACCACAAGGAGCUUGAUCGUUACCCACGAUUCUCGCACAACAUAACGAAUAUACAACGACUCGGUAUCCUCGAUACCACCAUGAUCCUUACGGCGAUCACAACCCCGGGUUGUCAUUAAUCAAGUUAUUCUUAUUACUAUUGACUCACGGUGUGACCUACUUUCGAACUGGGCCCUUAUCCGCGGGCGUGGCUAUCGAUAGAUUUAAUAUACACUCUGCAGAGGUUAGUACACUGUACCCACACUACGGAACCUGUCGUGGAUAUGGGACACGGGUAUCCUCAUGGAGGUAGCCCGCGGCCCAUCAUGGGAGGUGGCCCAGCAGGCCGACUUAAACACUUUGAAUAAGACCUGGAUUGCUAUCCAUCUUGUAAUUGAAAAGAGACUAGUCCUAAUCCUACUAGGACUCUACAUGUAAGCCGGCCCCUUCAACUUAUAUAAGGAGGGGCAAGGCUCCCCAAGAGGGACAAGUAAGAAGCUCAAUAAUCUCUAGGGCUAGACACAACUAGAGGAGAGCCGGCUUAUACAGCGACUCCCUCAUGAGCAUACGGAAUAAGACCUAGCCACAAACAACAUGUAGGGUUAUUACCGGAUGAUGUUUCCCGGGGCCUGAAGCUGUCUAAAUCCUUGUCUUGUGUUGCGUCUCUCGAUUCCGCUCAACCCCUCUCAAGCUACCACAUAGAUGCGUUGGCCUCGCGACUAAGUCCUGACACUAAGGACAUCUGCCGUGACAAUUCCACGACAGUUGGCGCCCACCGUGGGGCUUGCGCACGGUGGUGUUGAGUUCUUGGAGGGAUAUUUUCUCAGGGUUUCGGGAAGCUCGUGAUUGGUCAGAUGAAGAAAAAGUGGUUUGAUUAUCAGAAUCAUGAUUAAAUUUGGAGUUUACAGUGCGAAGUUUUGAGAUCAAGAGGAUAAAGGUUUCUAUUGUUUGGGUCGUCAGACGGGACGAUAUCCGUCUAAACCGCAGCUGCGCCAAAUCCGAGAUGGAAGGUGUUAAUCUGUGGUACGUAUACGGACAAAACGAUCCAAGGCUACAGCCGGAUCCGCCGAGUUCCCCUACUCCUCCUCGCCUCCUUCAAGUCCCGAAGAGACCACCAGCUAUUACGCAAUUUUUGGUACAGCCUACUGCCCCUGUGAUAUUAAAAGGUUUUGCUGCCGCCGAUUCCAACAACUGAUCAUCAAUCGAGAAAUAGUACUAUAAUGCUACUGCUCCUCACGUGGUGGUCAAGGUUGAUCCACAAGAUUAAAUUUUUUGUCUCCUGUUGCACUACACGCGAUGCUAGUACCAAUUUAGUACAGACCAGAUUUUUGGGUUUUCAAAACACUGCCUACUAUCGGAAACAUCAAUGCAGGAUUCCAGUGUGCAAACGAUUGAACGAGACGGUCAAACCAACUACGACCCGGUUCAUAUUGCCUUCAAGCCAGCUCCGCCUCUGGGCCGUUCACUGCCGCGUCCGUCGUCGUUUCUGAACCGGCCACUGCUAUGCCAAGUCAACACCAGAGCCUCGCCUUGGCUUUGCUCCUCAGCCGUGGUGCCACAUCAGUCUGCUUUAGCCGUGGAUUUCGAGCUGCCACUGCACUCGCCUCGCCACCUCUAUCGCGGUCGUCUCUGAGCCGCGUCGGAUCGUCCCCUGCCGGAGCUCCGCUGUUAAACCGCCUUAUUAAGCAGUAUUGGCACAGCCAUCUGCAAGUCACUGUUGAGACCGCUUUGCCUUCGUCGACCCGCGUCGCUUCUUCUAAAGUGCCUCCGCGGUGGCCGCCUCACGCCGCCGCCGUCACAUAACGAGCCUGUCGCACCCCGGGCCGCCUUUGUUUGUUGGGGAUCGUAGCAGAAAUUUAAAAUUUUCUACGUAUCACCAAGAUCAAUCUAUGGAGUCAUCUAGCAAUGAGAGAGAGGGGAGUGCAUCCACAUACCCUUGUAGAUCGCGCGCGGAAGCGUUCAAGAGAACGGGGUUGAUGGAGUCGUACUCGUCGUGAUCCAAAUCCCCGAUGAUCCUAGCGCCGAACGGACGGCACCUCCGUGUUCAACACACGUACGGAGCGGGGACGUCUCCUCCUUCUUGAUCCAGCAAGGGGGGAGGAGAAGUUGAUGGAGAUCCAGCAGCGCGACGGCGUGGUGGUGGAAGUAGCGGGAUCCCGGUAGGGCUUUGCCAAGCGCAAGCGGGGAGGAAGAGGUGUCACGGGAGGGAGGGAGGCGCCAGGGCUUGGGGUGCUGCUCCCAUGCGCCUCCCCACUAUAUAUAGGGGUGGAGGGGGCUGGUUUCUUGCCCUCCAAGUCCAUUGGGGCGUUGGCAAAGGUGGGGGAAAGAAAUCCCAUCAUUUUCCUUCCCCACCGAUUGUUAUCCCCCUUUUUUAGGGAUCUUGAUCUUAUCCCUUUGGGAUAUGAUCUUAUUCCUUCUAAGGUGGGACCUUGGUGCGCCUCCGGACCAUUCCGGAACUCCUCGUGACGUCCGGGAUCUCAUCCGAGACUCCAAACAACUUUCGGUUAACCGCAUACUAAUAUCUCUACAACUCUAGCGUCACCGAACCUUAAGUGUGUAGACCCUACGGGUUCGGGAGACAUGCAGACAUGACUGAGACGACUCUCCGGUCAAUAACCAACAGCGGGAUCUAGAUACCCAUGUUGGCUCCCACAUGUUCCACGAUGAUCUCAUCAGAUGAACCACGAUGUCGAGGAUUCAAUCAAUCCCGUAUACAAUUACCUUUGUCAAUCGGUACGUUACUUGCCCGGGAUUCGAUCGUCGGUAUCCCAAUACCUUGUUCAAUCUCGUUACCGGCAAGUCACUUUACUCGUACCGUAAUGCAUGAUCCCCUGACCAAACACUUGGUCACAUUGAGCUCAUUAUGAUGAUGCAUUACCGAGUGGGCCCAGAGAUACCUCUCCGUCAUACGGAGUGACAAAUCCCAGUCUCGAUUCGUGCCAACCCAACAGACACUUUCGGAGAUACCCGUAGUGCACCUUUAUAGCCACCCGGUUACGUUGUGACGUUUGGCACGCCCAAAGCACUCCUAUGGUAUCCGGGAGUUGCACAAUCUCAUGGUCUAAGGAAAUGAUACUUGACAUUUGGAAAAGCUCUAGCAAACGAACUACACAAUCUUGUGCUAUGCUUAGGAUUGGGUCUUGUCCAUCACAGCAUUCUCCUAAUGAUGUGAUCCCGUUAUCAAUGACAUCCAAUGUCCAUAGUCAGGAAACCAUGACUAUCUGUUGAUCAUCGAGCUAGUCAACUAGAGGCUCACUAGGGACAUGUUGUGGUCUAUGUAUUCACACAUGUAUUACGACUUCCGGAUAACACAAUUAUAGCAUGAACAAUAGACAAUUAUCAUGAACAAGGAAAUAUAAUAAUAACCAUUUUAUUAUUGCCUCUAGGGCAUAUUUCCAACAGUCUCCGACUUGCACUAGAGUCAAUAAUCUAGUUACAUUGUGAUGAAUUGAACACCCAUAGAGUUCUGGUGUUGAUCAUGUUUUGCUCUAGCGAGAGGUUUAGUCAACGGAUCUGCUACAUUCAGGUCCGUAUGUACUUUACAAAUAUCUAUGUCUCCAUUUUAAACAUUUUCACGAAUGGAGUUGAAGCGACGCUUGAUAUGCCUGGUCUUCCUGUGAAACCUGGGCUCCUUGGCAAGGGCAAUAUCUCGAGUGUUGUCACGGAAGAGAGUUAUCGGGCCCGACGCAUUGGGAAUAACUCCUAGGUCCGUAAUGAACUCCUUCACCCAGAUUGCUUCUUGUGCUGCCUCUGAGGCCGCCAUGUAUUCCGCUUCACAUGUAGAUCCUGCCACAACGCUUUGCUUGCAACUGCACCAGCUUACUGCCCCACCAUUCAAAAUAUAAACGUAUCCGGUUUGUGACUUAGAGUCAUCCAGAUCUGUGUCGAAGCUAGCAUCAACGUAACCCUUUACGACGAGCUCUUCGUCACCUCCAUAAACGAGAAACAUAUCCUUAGUCCUCUUCAGGUACUUCAAGAUAUUCUUGACCGCUGUCCAGUGUUCCAUGCCGGGAUUACUUUGGUACCUUCCUACCAAACUUACGGCAAGGUUUACAUCAGGUCUGGUACACAGCAUGGCAUACAUAAUAGACCCUAUGGCCGAGGCAUAGGGGACGACACUCAUCUUUUCUCUAUCUUCUGCCGUGGUCGGGCAGUGAGCCGUGCUCAAUUGCACACCUUGCAAUACAGGCAAGAACCCCUUCUUGGACUGAUCCAUAUUGAACUUCUUCAAUAUCUUGUCAAGGUACGUACUUUUUGAAAGACCAAUGAGGCGUCUUGAUCUAUCUCUAUAGAUCUUGAUGCCUAAUAUAUAAGCAGCUUCUCCAAGGUCCUUCAUUGAAAAACACUUGUUCUAGUAGGCCUUUAUGCUUCCCAAGAAUUCUAUAUCAUUUCCCAUCAACAGUAUGUCAUCCACAUAUAAUAUGAGAAAUGCUACAGAGCUCCCACUCACUUUCUUGUAAACACAGGCUUCUCCAUAAGUCUGUGUAAACCCAAACGCUUUGAUCAUCUCAUCAAAUCGAAUGUUCCCACUCCGAGAUGCUUGCACCAGCCCAUAGAUGGAGUGCUGGAGCUUGCAUACCUUGUUAGUAUUCUUAGGAUCGACAAAACCUUCCGGCUGCAUCAUAUACAAUUCUUCCUUAAGAAAACCGUUAAGGAAUGUCGUUUUGAUGUCCAUUUGCCAUAUCUCAUAAUCAUAGUAUGCGGCAAUUGCUAACAUGAUUCGGACGGACUUCAGCUUCGCUACGGGUGAGAAAGUCUCAUCGUAGUCAACCCCUUGAACUUGUCGAUAACCCUUAGCGACAAGUCGAGCUUUAUAGAUGGUAACAUUACCAUCCGCGUCUGUCUUCUUCUUAAAGAUCCAUUUGUUUUCUAUCGCUCGCCGAUCAUCGGGCAAGUCUGUCAAAGUCCACACUUUGUUUUCAUACAUGGAUCCUAUCUCGGAUUGCAUUGCUUCAAGCCAUUUGUUGGAAUCUGGGCCCGCCAUUGCUUCUUCAUAGUUCGAAGGUUCACCGUUGUCUAACAACAUGAUUUCCAAGACAGGGUUGCCAUACCUCUCUGGCGCGGAACGUGUCCUUGUGGACCUACGAAGUUGAGUAGGAGCUUGAUCCGAAGUACCUUGAUCAUCAUCAUCAUUAACUUCCUCUCUAGUCGGUGCAGGCACCACAGGAAAAUCUUCCUGAGCUGCGCUACUUUCCGGUUCAAGAGGUAGUACUUCAUCAAGUUCCACCUUCCUCCCACUUACUUCUUUCGAGAGAAACUCUUUCUCCAGAAAGGACCCGUUCUUGGCAACAAAGAUUUUGCCUUCGGAUCUGAGGUAGAAGGUAUACCCAAUGGUUUCCUUAGGGUAUCCUAUGAAGACGCAUUUUUCCGACUUGGGUUCGAGCUUUUCAGGUUGAAGUUUCUUGACAUAAGCAUCGCAUCCCCAAACUUUUAGAAACGAUAGCUUAGGUUUCUUCCCAAACAAUAAUUCAUACGUUGUUGUCUCAACGGAUUUCGACGGAGCCCUAUUUAAAGUGAAUGCGGCAGUCUCUAAAGCAUAGCCCCAAAAUGAGAGCGGUAGAUCGGGAAGAGACAUCAUAGAUCGCACCAUAUCCAAUAGAGUGCGAUUACGACGUUCGGACACACCAUUUCGAUGAGGUGUUCCAGGCGGCGUGAGUUGUGAAACUAUUCCACAUUUCCUUAAGUGUGUGCCAAAUUCAUGACUCAAAUAUUCCCCUCCAUGAUCUGAUCGUAAGAACUUUAUUUUCCUGUCAUGUUGAUUCUCAACCUCACUCUGAAAUUCCUUGAACUUUUCAAAGGUCUCAGACUUGUGUUUCAUUAGGUAGACAUACCCAUAUCUACUCAAGUCAUCAGUGAGAGUGAGAACAUAACGAUAGCCACCGUGAGCCUCAACACUCAUUGGACCGCACACAUCAGUAUGUAUGAUUUCCAAUAAGUUGGUUGCUCGCUCCAUUGUUCCGGAGAACGGAGUCUUGGUCAUCUUAACCAUGAGGCAUGGUUCGCACGUGUCGAACGAUUCGUAAUCAAGAGACUCCAAAAGUCCAUCUGCAUGGAGCUUCUUCAUGCGUUUGACACCAAUGUGACCAAGACGGCAGUGCCACAAGUAUGUGGGACUAUCAUUAUGAACCUUACAUCUUUUGGUAUUCACACUAUGAAUAUGUGUAACACUACGUUCGAGAUUCAUUAAGAAUAAACCAUUAACCAGCGGGGCAUGACCAUGAAACAUAUCUCUCAUAUAAAUAGAACAACCAUUAUUCUCGGAUUUAAAUGAGUAGCCAUCUCGAAUUAAACGAGAUCCUGAUACAAUGUUCAUGCUCAAAGCUAGCACUAAAUAACAAUUAUUGAGGUUUAAAACUAAUCCCGUAGGUAAAUGUAGAGGUAGCGUGCCAACGGCGAUCACAUCGACCUUGGAACCAUUCCCGACGCGCAUCGUCACCUCGUCCUUUGCCAGUCUCCGUUUAUUCCGCAGCUCCUGCUUUGAGUUACAAAUAUGAGCAACCGCACCGGUAUCAAAUACCCAGGAGCUACUACGAGUGCUGGUAAGGUACACAUCAAUAACAUGUAUAUCACAUAUACCUUUGGUGUUGCCGGCCUUCUUGUCUGCCAAGUACUUGGGGCAGUUCCGCUUCCAGUGACCACUUCCCUUGCAAUAAAAGCACUCCGUCUCAGUCUUGGGUCCAUUCUUUGGCUUCUUCCCGGCAACUGGCUUACUGGGCGCGGCAACUCCCUUGCCGUCCUUCUUGAAGUUCUUCUUACCCUUGCCUUUCUUGAACUUAGUGGUUUUAUUCACCAUCAACACUUGAUGUUCCUUUUUGAUCUCCACCUCCGCUGAUUUUAGCAUUGAAUAUACCUCAGGAAUGGUCUUUUCCAUCCCCUGCAUAUUGAAGUUCAUCACAAAGCUCUUGUAGCUCGGUGGAAGCGACUGAAGGAUUCUGUCAAUGACCGCGUCAUCCGGGAGAUUAACUCACAGCUGAGUCAAGCAGUUGUGUAACCCAGACAUUUUGAGUAUGUGCUCACUGACAGAACUAUUUUCCUUCAUCUUACAACUGAAGAACUUGUCGGAGACUUCAUAUCUCUCGACCUGGGCAUGAGCUUGGAAAACCAUUUUCAGCUCUUCGAAGAUCUCAUAUGCUCCGUGUUGCUCAAAACGCUUUUGGAGCCCCGGUUCUAAGCUGUAAAGCAUGCCGCACUGAACGAGGGAGUAAUCAUCAGCAUGCUGCUGCCAAGCAUUCAUAACGUCUUGGUUCUCUGGGAUGGGUGCGUCACCUAGCGGUGCUUCUAGGACAUAAUCUUUCUUGGCAGCAAUGAGGAUGAUCCUCAGGUUCCAGACCCAGUCCGUAUAGUUGCUGCCAUCAUCUUUCAGUUUGGUUUUCUCUAGGAACGCGUUGAAGUUGAGGGCAACAUUAGCGUGGGCCAUUUGAUAUACAAGACAUAUUGUAAAUAUUUUAGACUAAGUUCAUGAUAAUUAAGUUCAUCUAAUCAAAUUAUUCAAUGAACUCCCACUCAGAUAGACAUCCCUCUAGUCAUCUAAGUGAAACAUGAUCCGAGUCAACUAGGCCGUGUCCGAUCAUCACGUGAGACGGACUAGUCAAUAUCGGUGAACAUCUUCAUGUUGAUCGUAUCUUCUAUACGACUCAUGCCCGACCUUUCGGUCUUCCGUGUUCCGAGGCCAUGUCUGUACAUGCUAGGCUCGUCAAGUCAACCUAAGUGUAUUGCGUGUGUAAAUCUGGCUUACACCCGUUGUAUUCGAACGUUAGAAUCUAUCACACCCGAUCAUCACGUGGUGCUUUGAAACAACGAACCUUCGCAACGGUGCACAGUUAGGGGGAACACUUUCUUGAAAUUAUUGCGAGGGAUCAUCUUAUUUAAGCUACCGUCGUUCUAAGCAAAUAAGAUGUAAAACAUGAUAAACAUCACAUGCAAUCAAAUAGUGACAUGAUAUGGCCAGUAUCAUAUUGCUCCUUUGAUCUCCAUCUUCGGGGCGCCAUGAUCAUCUUCGUCACCGGCAUGACACCAUGAUCUCCAUCAUCAUGAUCUCCAUCAUCGUGUCUUCAUGAAGUUGUCACGCCAACGAUUACUUCUACUUCUAUGGCUAACGUGUUUAGCAAUAAAGUAAAGUAAUUUACAUGGCGUUAUUCAAUGACACGCAGGUCAUACAAAAAAUAAAGACAACUCCUAUGGCUCCUGCCGGUUGUCAUACUCAUCGACAUGCAAGUCGUGAUUCCUAUUACAAGAACAUGAUCAAUCUCAUACAUCACAUAUAUUUCAUUCAUCACAUCCUUUUGGCCAUAUCACAUCACAAGGCAUAUGCUGCAAAAACAAGUUAGACGUCCUCUAAUUGUUGUUGCAUGUUUUACGUGGCUUCUAUAGGUUUCUAGGAAGAACGUUUCUUACCUACGUAAAACCACAACGUGAUAUGCCAACUUCUAUUUACCCUUCAUAAGGACCCUUUUCAUCGAAUCCGAUUCGACUAAAGUGGGAGAGACAGACACCCGCUAGCCACCUUAUGCAACUAGUGCAUGUCAGUCGGUGGAACCUGUCUCACGUAAGCGUACGUGUAAGGUCGGUCCGGGCCGCUUCAUCCCACGAUGCCGCCGAAACAAGAUAAGACUAGUAGUGGCAAGAAAAUUGACAACAUCUACGCCCACAACAAGUUUGUGUUCUACUCGCGCAUAGAAACUACGCAUAGACCUAGCUCAUGAUGCCACUGUUGGGGAUCGUAGCAGAAAUUUAAAAUUUUCUACGUAUCACCAAGAUCAAUCUAUGGAGUCAUCUAGCAACGAGAGAGAGGGGAGUGCAUCUACAUACCCUUGUAGAUCGCGCGCGGAAGCGUUCAAGAGAACGGGGUUGAUGGAGUCGUACUCGUCGUGAUCCAAAUCACCGAUGAUCCUAGCGCCGAACGGACACCUCCGCGUUCAACACACGUACGGAGUGGGGACGUCUCCUCCUUCUUGAUCCAGCAAGGGGGGAGGAGAAGUUGAUGGAGAUCCAGCAGCACGACGCCGUGGUGGUGGAAGUAGCGGGAUCCCGGCAGGGCUUCGCCAAGCGCAAGCGUGGAGGAAGAGGUGUCACGGGAGGGAGGGAGGCGCCAGGGCUUGGGGUGCUGCUCCCAUGCGCCUCCCCACUAUAUAUAUGGGUGGAGGGGGCUGGUUUCUUGCCCUCCAAGUCUAUUGGGGCGUUGGCAAAGGUGGGGGAAAGAAAUCCCAUCAUUUCCCUUCCCCACCGAUUGUUAUCCCCCUUUUUUAGGGAUCUUGAUCUUAUCCCUUCGGGAUAUGAUCUUAUUCCUUCUAAGGUGGGAUCUUGGUGCGCCUUGACCAGGGGUGUGGGGCCUUGCCCCCACUACCCACGUUCAUGUGGGUCCCCCCAUGCAGGUGGGCCCCACUUCGGAACCUUCUAGAACCUUCCCGGUACAAUACCGAAAAAUCCCAAACAUUUUUCGGUGGCCAAAAUAGGACAUCCCAAAUAUAAAUCCUUACCUCCGGACCAUUCCGGAACACCUCGUGACGUCCGGGAUCUCAUCCGGGACUCCGAACAACUUUCUGUUAACCGCAUACUAAUAUCUCUACAACUCUAGCGUCACCGAACCUUAAGUGUGUAGACCCUACGGGUUCGGGAGACAUGCAGACAUGACUGAGACGACUCUCCGGUCAAUAACCAACAGCGGGAUCUGGAUACCCAUGUUGGCUCCCACAUGUUCCACGAUGAUCUCAUCAGAUGAACCACGAUGUCGAGGAUUCAAUCAAUCCCGUAUACAAUUACCUUUGUCAAUCGGUACGUUACUUGCCCGAGAUUCGAUCGUCGGUAUCCCAAUACCUUGUUCAAUCUCGUUACCGACAAGUCACUUUACUCGUACCGUAAUGCAUGAUCCCCUGACCAAACACUUGGUCACAUUGAGCUCAUUAUGAUGAUGCAUUACCGAGUGGGCCCAGAGAUACCUCUCCGUCAUACGGAGUGACAAAUCCCAGUCUCGAUUCGUGCCAACCCAACAGACACUUUCGGAGAUACCCGUAGUGCACCUUUAUAGCCACCCGGUUACGUUGUGACGUUUGGCACACCCAAAGCACUCCUAUGGUAUCCGGGAGUUGCACAAUCUCAUGGUCUAAGGAAAUGAUACUUGACAUUUGGAAAAGCUCUAGCAAACGAACUACACGAUCUUGUGCUAUGCUUAGGAUUGGGUCUUGUCCAUCACAUCAUUCUACUAAUGAUGUGAUCCCGUUAUCAAUGACAUCCAAUGUCCAUAGUCAGGAAACCAUGACUAUCUGUGGAUCAACGAGCUAGUCAACUAGAGGCUCAAGAGGGACAUGUUGUGGUCUAUGUAUUCACACAUGUAUUACGAUUUCGGUAACACAAUUAUAGCAUGAACAAUAGACAAUUAUCAUGAACAAGGAAAUAUAAUAAUAACCAUUUUAUUAUUGCCUCUAGGGCAUAUUUCCAACAUUGUUGACCCGCCUAGCUGCUUCUGCCGCGAUCCUACCGGCGCGCCAAGUUGCGAGUUGCGCUGCUCGCGCCACUACACGCCCCGUCCGUGCAACUCGCCCUGCUCUACAAGCCUCUGCGUGCCCAAGUCCUUCGGUUUUCUGUGGCCUUCGAGCACCUCUGCUCCACCAAGAUGCGACGCCUCCAAGCUCGCGACCGCUGACCUGUUUUUAAACGCCGCUUUAAGUCGGUCUUACCAAGCCGUCUGAAUCCACCGCUGCUGCAACAAACAGAGCAGCAAGGGAGCUGCAGGGGCAAUAGCCCAACGUAGUGAGGUUGUUACGCCAUGGCAUCGCGCUGCGUCAAGUCACCAGAGGAAAAAGGCAUAAAAAAAGGGGGCAGCUGCCUUGUCCAUCAUUGAAAAGAAAGAGGAAGAGAAAGACAGAUUAACAGGCAUGCAUGGGACAUCCACUAGUGGCACGCCCCCGAAACAACCAUUGAUUUUCCAAAGCAUCUCACGUGAAAAGUGCUACCACGGUCUGCCUAUGUAUCGUCUGUUAAAUUGACGUCUGGCGCACGAUUGUACACAGAUCAUCAGGUGAUAUUCAUCUAAGUCUAUUUCUAGUACAUAUUGUUUUUUUGUCAAAGAACAAUUACUUUCUCUGUAUAUUCUUAUAUAUGCAGGGCAAUGAUUCAUCGUUUACUGUUGGACGGGUGUGCGCAAGCCGCCGCCCGUGCAGUUCGAUCUACAUCAACUCGCUAGAAUCGCCCGCGAUUGACUGGUCCUCCGUGCGGCUUCGCGCGCCCGCGAUUGACUUAUCGUCCGCACCCGCGGCUAAGCCAUUUCCAACGCUGCUGCCGGAUCUCCCCGUCCGCACCGGCUUACAACGCCGCGCCCGACUCUCACGUCCGAACCGGCUUAUAAUGCCGCGGCCGACUCACCCGUGAGUGAUUACAGUUUCACCUAGUAAUCAUCAACUCCACGGCGGAUAAUUUCCGGCCUAACAUAUCAGGUGACAUCUAUCUAAGUCUAAUUUUGACACAUAUUGUUUUUUGUCAAAAGAACAAUUACUUUGGACCGUAUAUUUUGAUAUGCAGGGCAAUUAUUCAUUACAAAACAUGGUUUAUACCGUGGGUACGGAGUACGCGCUGGCAACGUCCUGCCCGGUGUUCGUCCGUGUCACAUUACACGAUGAAUGGACGCAUGCAAGACGCCGCCCUUACGGCCCGGUUUAUAUCAGCUUGCCGGGGCCGCGCCUGUGUUUGACUCGCCCGUCCGUACUGGCUUACAACGCCGUGACCGACUCAUCUAUCUAUAUCACCUCUGAUGCUGCGGUCGUCUUUUUCGUCCGUCUCUCGCGGCCUGGUCUACCUCAGCAUACCGGGCCGCACCUGUCUGCGUAAGCUGAUUAUUGAAUAUGAGCAAGUCACUGCUUGGGAAGCCCGGUUUUCUUCCAACAACUUGGAGGAAAAUUAUCAUGUGUUAUCAGCCGCCGUAUGCACCGGACGGCUCAAUAGGCAGGCGCACAAACCGCCGCCACUAUAGUUUGGUUAACUUCAAAACAUCCAGUUGGAAGGAACCAUUGGCCGAGUUGCUGACCUAGCUCAUACAUGAUCAUUUAUAACCCGCCGCAGUCACCUCAACUUUCUAUGGAUUCACAUCGCGCUAUCAACACCAAUGAUAUACACCUUAUGCUAUGGUCAAUAUAGAGAAUCUCAAAGCCAACUCCUCGAGUCGUCUUGAGACUCGGGGGCUACAAUGAUAUGACUCGGCAGCAUUGGUCGGUUUCAAUGCAUUCAAGAACUCCGGGUCAUUGGAGGGAAAAAUAACCCGGUCCCGGAGGCUACCGCCAUAUUGGUAAAAAGUUUAAAGGCCGUCAGAAAAUUUCCGGCUUAAAAAGAAGGAUUCCGGUUUAGAUCCGGCUCAAGAGACUUGACAUCUCCCACAAAGCAUUGAAGCUCUUAAAAUAUCCGGUUUAAAAUCCGAUUCAAGGGAAAUUUAUCUGCCACAAAGUUUUGAAGCUCUCAAAUCCGGUUCAAGGUAAAUUUGUUUAUCAUAAAGCUUUGAAAUUAUCAAUAUCCUGUUUUUUUCGGUUCAAAAAGAAUUUAUCUCUCGCAAAAGUUCGAGUUCUCAGGAAAAAUUAAAGGGACCAAAGAGAGUCUGUUACAAAGCACAACUCAAAUAUAGGUACCCUGCUUUAAUGACCACUGGGAGCUGAUCGUAUUCGAAUUUAGCUUAACCCUUUGGGUGUGACCCUGAUCGUAUUCGAAUCAGAAUCGUUAAAUAUUAUCAUGAUCACUAGGGGGCUUCCUGUUCAAACAUAGGUCGUAUUCGAACCAAAGAGAACAUAGCUGUCGGUACCCUCUUGAUCGGCACACUGCCGAGCUCACUAGGGGGUUUCUUGAUCGUAUUCGAAUCAUAGCUCAACCCCUUUUGGGAACCGACGUGGAUCGUAUUCGAAUCAGCGUCAUUAAACAAUUCUCAAGGUCAUUUGGGGGCUUCCUGUUCAAACAUAGGCCGUAUUCGAACCAAAGAGAACAUAGCUGUCGGUACCCUCUUGAUCGGCAACGCCAAAGCCACUGGGGGCUAUAUGAUCGUAUUCGAAUCUUAGCUUGACCCCUUUGGGACGGUUUUCUGAUCGUAUUCGAAUCAGAAGCCUCAAAUUUUUUUGAAGUCUCUUUUCUGCAAACAUUUUUUGGAUUUUAUUUGAAGCUCUUUUGAUCAUAUCUAAAGUGUAUAUGAGUGGUUGCUAUUUAACCCGGUUUGACUUUGGAUGAUAAGUCGCCAUCAUAUGACAAUCAUAAACAUUUGGAAGUCUUGAUUUCUAAAGAUUGGGUUAUCACCCUUACUGCGUAGGUCACAUAAACCGACAGUGAAAAUUCAAUAUCACAGGUAUAAUAUUAUUAUUAUAGUUAUGUUUCAAAGUUAUGGUUCAUAACAGGCUUAUCUGUGACUCUUUGUUACACAUCAAUGGUUAUAUGUGGGAUAUUAUGACCCGCCCUGCGGUAAACCGCCAAGGGAUCUUGUGAUCUAAUUAUGUGCAGGAUAAGACUAUAUUUGGGUGGUUACCCGCCCUGGUUUUUGACGUUAAGUUGCCAGGGCAUAUGUUGUUUAAACUCUGCAGGAUUUACAGAGCUAUGACUUACAUAAAUGAUUAAAUCCUAGCCCAUCAUCAAAGAUGGAAAUUGGUGUCUCAAAAGGGUUAUCAAUUCUUGAUUUUCUCAAAGGCUCUAAGCCGCCGGGUUGUACAAAUUCCGGCUUACAAUGGAGGCGUAUUAAAUCGCCAUCAGCCAAGAGCCGCCGGGUAUUUAAGCUCCGGAAUUAAUUAUCAACAGAUGAGGUAUUCAAAGUCACUGUGGCACAAUGGCUAUUAUUUUAUCAAUGCAUAUGAUUUAUUCUACAGUGGAAGGAAUAGUCCUGAGUCACUGCAGGCUUACGACCCGGCACUUGGGGGCUACAUUAUUCAAUUUGAUAUUACAUCGAAUAUACAAGUCCCACGUCACUGCCAGCAUGUACCAUGGCACUUGGGGGCUAAUGCAAAGUCAUUUUUAGCUCAACUUAUUGAAGACCCGAAUCAUCACAUUCUAAAUGAGCCGGCCCUUGGGGGCUACCAAUUGGUCCUGUCAAAAGUUCAAUGUACACAAGCAUUAAUCCGUUAUAUUGAACUGUCCACUAUUCAGUUGGUAGAGUACAAAGCUCUUAACCUUGUGGACGUGGGUUCAAGCCCCAUGGUGGAGUUUGUAUUAUAUGAUGUUAUUAUCAAUAAAUUAUAUACAAAGUCCCAGCUCAGUAUUAUCUUACUAAGCCGGCCCUUGGGGGCUACACAUUGAUGUUCAAGUUUACAUGGUUAUAUCUACAAAGUCCCUGCUCAUUAUUGCAUAAUGACCCGGCCCUUGGGGGCUACACUGGUUGAAGUUUUCAUGAGCAUAAGACAAUUACAAGUCACAGGUUGCUGCAAGCAUGACAACCCGGCACUUGGGGGCUACAGGUGAUAUGCAUAUAAGGGAGAAAAAUCUUCAAAUUCUCAGUUUGGAGCAGACCAGAUUAACCCGGUGUCUGCAGCAAUCAUGACCCGGCAUCAUUUAUUUAUAACCCGACAAUUUUAGCAAUCAUAAAUCGGCAAGAUCUACAUCUUUAAGCCGGCUGAAUAUCAGUUGAAUAUUUCAAGACCAAUAUUUUUGUCAAGUCAGAGCUUUGAAGGCUGACUCAAAUGGAUUAUUUCUUAUAAUAUUUCUCUACAAGAGCCAAUGUCAGCAAAUUGGUUAUGAAGCUGGCCUAUUGACCUGGAUUUUUUAGAAGAAGUGUCUGGAUUUUUUGCAUUGGCAAGGUUUGGACAUAUCUGUUUAAAGAGAUUUGCUACAAGAUCUUGAGUAUGCAUCCAGGAGGAAAAUGACAAGGACUUAAAGAUGAUCAGGUGCCGGUUCAGGAAAAUAUUGUUGGGUAACGUAGUAAUUUCAAAAAAAUUCUACGCACACGCAAGAUCAUGGUGAUGCAUAGCAACGAGAGGGGAGAGUGUUGUCCACGUACCCUCGUAGACCGAAAGCGGAAGCGUUAACACAACGCGGUUGAUGUAGUCGUACGUCUUCACGAUCCGACCGAUCAAGUACCGAACGCACGGCACCUCCGAGUUCAGCUCACGUUCAGCUCGAUGACGUCCCUCGAACUCCUAUCCAGCCGAGUGUUGAGGGAGAGUUUCGUCAGCACGACGGCGUGGUGACAAUGAUGAUGUUCUACCGACGCAGGGCUUCGCCUAAGCACCGCUACGAUAUUAUCGAGGUGUAAUAUGGUGGAGAGGGGCACCGCACACGGCUAAGAGAUCAAUGAUCAAUUGUGUGUUUACAGGUGCCCCCUGUCCCCUUAUAUAAAGGAGCAAGGGGGGUUCGGCCGGCCAAGGGGAGAGGCGCGCCAGGAGGAGUCCUACUCCUACCGGGAGUAGGACUCCCCCCCUUUUCCAUGUUGGACUAGGAGAGAGAGGGGGAAGAGGUGGAGGGGAGGAAGGAAGGGGGGCGCCGCCCCCCUCUCCUUGUCCUAUUCGGACUGGGGGAGGGGCGUGUGGCCCUGCCCUGGCCUCCUCUCCUCUCUUCCACCUAGGCCCACUAAGGCCCAUUAAGUUACCGGGGGGUUCCGGUAACCUCCCGGUACUCCGGAAAAAUCCCGAUUUCACCCGGAACACUUCCGAUAUCCAAACACAGGCUUCCAAUAUAUCAAUCUUUAUGUCUCGACCAUUUCAAGACUCCACGUCAUGUCCGUGAUCACAUCCGGGACUCCGAACAACCUUCGGUACAUCAAAACAUAUAAACUCAUAAUAUAACUGUCAUCGUUACGUUAAGCGUGCGGACCCUACGGGUUCGAGAACUAUGUACACAUGACCGAGACACCCGCCAGUCACUUUAAGCAACGAGUGCUCGCAACUAACUCGUUACCGGCAAGUCUCUUUACUCGUUCCGUAAUACAUCAUCCCGCAACUAACUCAUUAGUUACAAUGCUUGCAAGGCUUAUAGUGAUGUGUAUUACUGAGUGGGCCCAGAGAUACCUUUUCGACAAUUGGAGUGACAAAUCCUAAUCUCGAAAUACGCCAACCCAACAAGUACCUUUGGAGACACCUGUAGAGCACCUUUAUAAUCACCCAGUUACGUUGUGACGUUUGGUAGCACACAAAGUGUUCCUCCGGUAAACGGGAGUUGCAUAAUCUCAUAGUCAUAGGAACAUGUAUAAGUCAUGAAUAAAGCAAUAGAAACAUACUAAACGAUCGAGUGCUAAGCUAACGGAAUGGGUCAAGUCAAUCACAUCAUUCUCCUAAUGAUGUGAUCUCGUUAAUCAAAUGACAACUCAUGUCUAUGGCUAGGAAACAUAACCAUCUUUGAUCAACGAGCUAGUCAAGUAGAGGCAUACUAGUGACACUCUUUUUGUCUAUGUAUUCACACAUGUAUUAUGUUUCCGGUUAAUACAAUUCUAGCAUGAAUAAUAAACAUUUAUCAUGAUAUAAGGAAAUAAAUAAUAACUUUAUUAUUGCCUCUAGGGCAUAUUUCCUUCAGUCUCCCACUUGCACUAGAGUCAAUAAUCUAGAUUACACAGUAAUGAUUCUUACACCCAUGGAGUCUUGGUGUUGAUCAUGUUUUGCUCGUGGAAGAGGCUUAGUCAACGGGUCUGCAACAUUCAGAUCCGUAUGUAUCUUGCAAAUUUCUAUGUCUCCCACCUGGACUAAAUCCCGGAUGGAAUUGAAGCGUCUCUUGAUGUGCUUGGUUCUCUUGCGAAAUCUGGAUUCCUUUGCUAAGGCAAUUGCACCAGUAUUGUCACAAAAGAUUUUCAUUGGUCCCGAUGCACUAGGUAUGACACCUAGAUCGGAUAUGAACUCCUUCAUCCAGACUCCUUCAUUUGCUGCUUCCGAAGCAGCUAUGCACUCCGCUUCACACGUAGAUCCCGCCACGACACUUUGCUUAGAACUGCACCAACUGACAGCUCCACCGUUCAAUGUAAACACGUAUCCGGUUUGCGAUUUAGAAUCGUCCGGAUCAGUGUCAAAGCUUGCAUCAACGUAACCAUUUAUGAUGAGCUCUUUGUCACCUCCAUAAACGAGAAACAUAUCCUUAGUCCUUUUCAGGUAUUUCAGGAUGUUCUUGACCGAUGUCCAGUGAUCCACUCCUGGAUUACUUUGGUACCUCCCUGCCAAACUUAUAACAAGGCACACAUCAGGUCUGGUACACAGCAUGGCAUACAUGAUAGAGCCUAUGGCUGAAGCAUAGGGAACAUCUUUCAUCUUCUCUCUAUCUUCUGCAGUGGUCGGGCAUUGAGUCUUACUCAAUCUCACACCUUGUAGUACAGGCAAGAACCCUUUCUUUGCUUGAUCCAUUUUGAACUUCUUCAAAACAUUGUCAAGGUAUGUGCUUCGUGAAAGUCCAAUUAAGCGUCUUGAUCUAUCUCUAUAGAUCUUGAUGCCUAAUAUAUAUGCGGCUUCACCGAGGUCUUUCAUUGAAAAACUCUUAUUCAAGUAUCCCUUUAUGCUAUCCAGAAAUUCUAUUUCAUUUCCAAUUAGUAAUAUGUCAUCCACAUAUAAUAUCAGAAAUGCUACUGAGCUCCCACUCACUUUCUUGUAAAUACAGGCUUCUCCAAAAGUCUGUAUCAAACCAAAUGCUUUGAUCACACUAUCAAAGUGUUUAUUCCAACUUCGAGAGGCUUGCACCAGUCCAUAAAUGGAUCGCUGGAGCUUGCACACUUUGUUAGCUCCCUUUGGAUCGACAAAACCUUCCGGUUGCAUCAUAUACAACUCUUCUUCCAGAAAUCCAUUCAGGAAUGCAGUUUUGACAUCCAUUUGCCAAAUUUCAUAAUCAUAAAAUGCGGCAAUUGCUAACAUGAUUCGGACAGACUUGAGCAUCGCUACGGGUGAGAAGGUCUCAUCGUAGUCAAUCCCUUGAACUUGUCGAAAACCUUUCGCAACAAGUCGAGCUUUAUAGACAGUAACAUUACCGUCAGCGUCAGUCUUCUUCUUGAAGAUCCAUUUAUUUUCAAUGGCUUGCCGAUCAUCGGGCAAGUCAACCAAAGUCCAUACUUUGUUCUCAUACAUGGAUCCCAUCUCGGAUUUCAUGGCCUCAAGCCAUUUUGCGGAAUCUGGGCUCACCAUCGCUUCUUCAUAGUUCGUAGGUUCGUCAUGGUCUAGUAACAUAACCUCCAGAAUAGGAUUACCGUACCACUCUGGUGCGGAUCUUAAUCUGGUUGACCUACGAGGUUCAGUAAUAACUUGAUCUGAAGUUUCAUGAUCAUUAUCAUUAACUUCCUCACUAAUUGGUGUAGGUGUAGCAAAAACUGGUUUCUGUGAUGAUCUACUUUCCAAUAAGGGAGCAGGUACAGUUACCUCAUCAAGUUCUACUUUCCUCCCACUCACUUCUUUCGAGAGAAACUCCUUUUCUAGAAAGGAUCCAUUCUUAGCAACGAAUGUCUUGCCUUCGGAUCUGUGAUAGAAGGUGUACCCAACAGUCUCCUUUGGGUAUCCUAUCAAGACACAUUUCUCCGAUUUAGGUUCGAGCUUAUCAGGUUGAAGUUUCUUCACAUAGGCAUCGCAACCCCAAACUUUAAGAAACGGCAACUUUGGUUUCUUGCCAAACCAUAGUUCAUAAGGCGUCGUCUCAACGGAUUUCGAUGGUGCCCUAUUUAGAGUGAAUGCAGCCAUCUCUAAAGCAUAACCCCAAAAUGAUAGCGGUAAAUCAGUAAGAGACAUCAUAGAUCGCACCAUAUCUAGUAAAGUACGAUUACGACGUUCGGACACACCAUUACCAUGUGGUGUUCCGGGUGGCGUGAGUUGCGAAACUAUUCCGCAUUGUUUCAAAUGUAGGCCAAACUCGUAACUCAAAUAUUCUCCUCCACGAUCUGAUCGUAGAAACUUUAUUUUCUUGUUAUGAUGAUUUUCAACUUCGCUCUGAAAUUUUUUGAACUUUUCAAAUGUUUCAGACUUAUGUUUCAUUAAGUAGAUAUACCCAUAUCUGCUCAAAUCAUCUGUGAAGGUGAGAAAAUAACGAUAUCCGCCACGAGCCUCAAUAUUCAUCGGACCACAUACAUCUGUAUGUAUGAUUUCCAACAAAUUAGUUGCUCUCUCCAUAGUUCCGGAGAACGUUGUUUUAGUCAUCUUGCCUAUGAGACACGGUUCGCAAGUACCAAGUGAUUCAUAAUCAAGUGAUUCCAAAAGUCCAUCAUUAUGGAGUUUCUUCAUGCGCUUUACACCGAUAUGACCUAAACGGCAGUACCACAAAUAAGUUGCACUAUCAUUAUCAACUCUGCAUCUUUUGGCUUCGACAUUAUGAAUAUGUGUGUCACUACUACCGAGAUUCAUUAAAAAUAGACCACUCUUCAAGGGUGCAUGACCAUAAAAGAUAUUACUCAUAUAAAUAGAACAACCAUUAUUCUCUGAUUUAAAUGAAUAACCGUCUCGCAUCAAACAAGAUCCAAAUAUAAUGUUCAUGCUCAACGCUGGCACCAAAUAACAAUUAUUUAGGUCUAAUAUUAAUCCCGAAGGUAGAUGUAGAGGUAGCGUGCCGACGGCGAUCACAUCGACUUUGGAACCGUUUCCCACGCGCAUCGUCACCUCGUCCUUGGCCAGUGUUCGCUUAAUCCGUAGUCCCUGUUUCGAGUUGCAAAUAUUAGCAACAGAACCAAUAUCAAAUACCCAGGUGCUACUGCGAGCUCUGGUAAGGUACACAUCAAUAACAUGUAUAUCACAUAUACCUUUGUUCACCUUGCCAUCCUUCUUAUCCGCCAAAUACUUGGGGCAGUUCCUCUUCUAGUGACCAGUCUGCUUACAGUAGAAGCAUUCAGUCUCAGGCUUAGGUCCAGAUUUGGGUUUCUUCUCCUGAACAGCAACUUGCUUGCUGUUCUUCUUGAAGUUCCCCUUCUUCUUCCCUUUGCCCUUUUUGUUGAAACUAGUGGUCUUAUUGACCAUCAACACUUGAUGCUCCUUUUUGAUUUCUACCUCCGCUGCCUUUAGCAUUGCGAAGAGCUCGGGAAUUGUCUUAUUCAUCCCUUGCAUGUUAUAGUUCAUCACGAAGCUCUUGUAGCUUGGUGGCAGUGAUUGAAGAAUUCUGUCAAUGACGCUAUCAUCUGGAAGAUUAACUCCUAGAUGAAUCAAGUGAUUGUUAUACCCAGACAUUUUGAGUAUAUGCUCACUGACAGAACUAUUCUCUUCCAUCUUGCAGCCGUAGAACUUAUUGGAGACUUCAUAUCUCUCAAUCCGGGCAUUUGCUUGAAAUAUGAACUUCAACUCCUGGAACAUCUCAUAUGCUCCAUGACGUUCAAAACGUCGUUGAAGACCCGGUUCUAAGCCGUAAAGCAUGGCACACUGAACUAUCGAGUAGUCAUCAGCUUUGCUCUGCCAGACGUUCAUAACUUCUGGUGUUGCUCUUGCAGCAGGCCUGGCACCCAGCCGUGCUUCCAGGACGUAAUUCUUCUGUGCAGCAAUGAGGAUAAUCCUCAAGUUACGGACCCAGUCCGUGUAAUUGCUACCAUCAUCUUUCAACUUUGCUUUCUCAAGGAACGCAUUAAAAUUCAAUGGAACAACAGCACGGGCCAUCUAUCUACAAUUAACAUAGACAAGCAAGAUACUAUCAGGUACUAAGUUCAUGAUAAAUUUAAGUUCUAUUAAUCAUAUUACUUAAGAACUCCCACUUAGAUAGACAUCCCUCUAAUCAUCUAAGUGUUUAUGAUCCAAAUCAACUAAACCAUAACCGAUCAUCACGUGAAAUGGAGUAGUUUUCAAUGGUGAACAUCACUAUGUUGAUCAUAUCUACUAUAGGAUUCACGCUCGACCUUUCGGUCUCAGUGUUCCGAGGCCAUAUCUGCAUAUGCUAGGCUCGUCAAGUUUAACCUGAGUAUUCUGCGUGUGCAAAACUGGCUUGCACCCGUUGUAGAUGGACGUAGAGCUUUUCACACCCGAUCAUCACGUGGUGUCUGGGCACGACGAACUUUGGCAACGGUGCAUACUCAGGGAGAACACUUUUAUCUUGAAAUUUUAGUGAGAGAUCAUCUUAUAAUGCUACCGUCAAUCAAAGCAACAUAAGAUGCAUAAAAGAUAAACAUCACAUGCAAUCAAUAUAAGUGAUAUGAUAUGGCCAUCAUCAUCUUGUGCUUGUGAUCUCCAUCUCCGAAGCACCGUCAUGAUCACCAUCGUCACCGGCGCGACACCUUGAUCUCCAUCGGAGCAUCGUUGUCGUCUCGCCAACUAUUGCUUUUACGACUAUCACUACCGCUUAGUGAUAAAGUAAAACAAUUACAUGGCGAUUGCAUUGCAUACAAUAAAGCGACAACCAUAUGGCUCCUGCCAGUUGCCGAUAACUCGGUUACAAAACAUGAUCAUCUCAUACAAUAAAAUAUAGCAUCAUGUCUUGACCAUAUCACAUCACAACAUGCCCUGCAAAAACAAGUUAGAUGUCCUCUACUUUGUUGUUGCAAGUUUUACGUGGCUGCUACGGGCUUAGCAACAACCGUUCUUACCUACGCAUCAAAACCACAACGAUAGUUUGUCAAGUUGGUGCUGUUUUAACCUUCGCAAGGACCGGGCGUAGCCACACUUGGUUCAACUAAAGUGAGAGAGACAGACACCCGCCAGUCACCUUUAAGCAACGAGUGCUCGCAACAGUGAAACCAGUCCUGCGUAAGCGUACGCGUAAUGUCGGUCCGGGCCGCUUCAUCUCACAAUACCGCUGAACCAAAAUAUGACACGCUGGUAAGCAGUAUGACUUAUAUCGCCCACAACUCACUUGUGUUCUACUCGUGCAUAUAACAUUAACGCAUAAAACCUGGCUCGGAUGCCACUGUUGGGUAACGUAGUAAUUUCAAAAAAAUUCCACGCACACGCAAGAUCAUGGUGAUGCAUAGCAACGAGAGGGGAGAGUGUUGUCCACGUACCCUCGUAGACCGAAAGCGGAAGCGUUAACACAACGCGGUUGAUGUAGUCGUACGUCUUCACGAUCCGACCGAUCAAGUACCGAACGCACGGCACCUCCGAGUUCAGCACACGUUCAGCUCGAUGACGUCCCUCGAACUCCGAUCCAGCUGAGUGUUGAGGGAGAGUUUCGUCAGCACGACGGCGUGGUGACAAUGAUGAUGUUCUACCGACGCAGGGCUUCGCCUAAGCACCGCUAUGAUAUUAUCGAGGUGUAAUAUGGUGGAGAGGGGCACCGCACACGGCUAAGAGAUCAAUGAUCAAUUGUGUGUUUAGAUGUGCCCCCCUGUCCCUGUAUAUAAAGGAGCAAGGGGGGUUCGGCCGGCCAAGGGGAGAGGCACGCCAGGAGGAGUCCUACUCCUACCGGGAGUAGGACUCCCCCCUUUUCCAUGUUGGACUAGGAGAGAGAGGGGGAAGAGGUGGAGGGGAGGAAGGAAGGGGGGGCGCCCCCCCCUCUCCUUGUACUUUUCGGACUGGGGGGAGGGGCGUGCGUGUGGGAAAUAUGCCCUAGAGGCAAUAAUAAAUGGUUAUUAUUAUAUUUCUUUGUUCAUGAUAAUUGUCUAUUGUUCAUGCUAUAAUUGUGUUAUCCGGAAAUCGUAAUACAUGUGUGAAUACAUAGACCACAACGUGUCCCUAGUAAGCCUCUAGUUGACUAGCUCGUUGAUCAACAGAUAGUCAUGGUUUCCUGACUAUGGACAUUGGAUGUCAUUGAUAACGGGAUCACAUCAUUAGGAGAAUGAUGUGAUGGACAAGACCCAAUCCUAAGCAUAGCAUAAAAGAUCGUGUAGUUCGUUUGCUAGAGCUUUUCCAAUGUCAAGUAUCUUUUCCUUAGACCAUGAGAUCGUGUAACUCCCGGAUACCGUAGGAGUGCUUUGGGUGUGCCAAACGUCACAACGUAACUGGGUGACUAUAAAGGUACACUACGGGUAUCUCUGAAAGUGUCUGUUGGGUUGGCACGGAUCGAGACUGGGAUUUGUCACUCCGUGUGACGGAGAGGUAUCUCUGGGCCCACUCGGUAAUGCAUCAUCAUAAUGAGCUCAAUGUGACUAAGGAGUUAGCCACGGGAUCAUGCAUUACGGUAGGAGUAAAGAGACUUGCCGGUAACGAGAUUGAACAAGGUAUAGGGAUACCGACGAUCGAAUCUCGGGCAAGUAACAUACCGAUUGACAAAGGGAAUUGAAUACGGGAUUGAUUGAAUCCUCGACAUCGUGGUUCAUCCGAUGAGAUCAUCAUGGAACAUGUGGGAGCCAACAUGGGUAUCCAGAUCCCGCUGUUGGUUAUUGACCGGAGAGGCGUCUCGGUCAUGUCUGCAUGUCUCCCGAACCCGUAGGGUCUACACACUUAAGGUUCGGUGACGCUAGGGUUGUAGAGAUAUGAGUAUGCGGAAACCCGAAAGUUGUUCGGAGUCUCGGAUGAGAUCCCGGACGUCACGAGGAGUUCCGGAAUGGUCCGGAGGUGAAGAAUUAUAUAUGGGAAGUCCAGUUUCGGCCACCGGGAAAGUUUCGGGGGUUAUCGGUAUUGUACCGGGACCACCGGAAGGGUCCCGGGGGUCCACCGGGUGGGGCCACCUAUCCCGAAGGGCCCCAUGGGCUGAAGUGGGAAGGGCACCAGCCCUUAGUGGGCUGGGCGCCCCCCUUGGGCCUCCCCCUGCGCCUAGGGUUGGAAACCCUAGGGGUGGGGGGCGCCCCACUUGGCUUGUGGGGGAAGCCACCCCACCUUCCCCCUUGGCCGCCGCCCCCCCAUGUAGAUGGGUUCUAGGCCGGCGCCCCCCCCCCCUCCCAGGGGGCCUAUAUAUAGUGGGGGGAGGGCAGCAACACAACAGCCCCUGGCGCCUCCCUCUCCCCCUGCAACACCUCUCCCUCUCGCAGAAGCUUGGCGAAGCCCUGCCGAGAUCCGGCUACAUCCACCACCACGCCGUCGUGCUGCUGGAUCUCCAUCAACCUCUCCUUCCCCCUUGUUGGAUCAAGAAGGAGGAGACGUCGCUGCUCGGUACGUGUGUUGAACGCGGAGGUGCCCUCCGUUCGGCACUCGGUCAUCGGUGAUUUGGAUCACGACGAGUACGACUCCAUCAACCCCGUUCAUUGGAACGCUUCCGCUCGCGAUCUACAAGGGUAUGUAGAUGCACUCCUUUCCCCUCAUUGCUAGUAUACUCCACAGAUGGAUCUUGGUGAUGCGUAGGAAAUUUUAAAAUUCUGCUACGAUCCCCAACAGUGGCAUCAUGAGCCAGGCCUAUGCGUAUUUACUAUGCACGAGUAGAACACAAAGAAGUUGUGGGCGUAGAUGUUGUCAAUUCUUCUUGCCACUACUAGUCUUAUCUUGUUUCGGCGGUAUUGUGGGAUGAAGCGGCCCGGACCGACCUUACACGUACGCUUACGUGAGACAGGUUCCACCGACUGACAUGCACUAGUUGCAUAAGGUGGCUAGCGGGUGUCUGUCUCUCCCACUUUAGUCGGAACGGAUUCGAUGAAAAGGGUCCUUAUGAAGGGUAAAUAGAAAUUGGCAUAUCACGUUGUGGUUUUACGUAGGUAAGAAACGUUCUUGCUAGAAACCUAUACAAGCCACGUAAAAACUUGCAACAACAAUUAGAGGACGUCUAACUUGUUUUUGCAGCAUGUGCUAUGUGAUGUGAUAUGGCCAGAAGAUGUGAUGAAUGAUAUAUGUGAUGUAUGAGAUUGAUCAUAUUCUUGUAAUAGGAAUCACGACAUGCAUGUCGAUGAGUAUGACAACCGGCAGGAGCCAUAGGAGUUGUCUUUAUUAUUUUGUAUGACCUGCGUAUCAUUGAAUAACGCCAUGUAAAUUACUUUACUUUAUUGCUAAACGUGUUAGCCAUAGAAGUAGAAGUAAUCGUUGGCGUGACAACUUCAUGAAGACACGAUGAUGGAGAUCAUGGUGUCAUGCCGGCGACGAAGAUGAUCAUGGUGCCCCGAAGAUGGAGAUCAGAGGAGCAAAAUGAUAUUGGCCAUAUCAUGUCACUAUUUGAUUGCAUGUGCUGUUUAUCAUGUUUUGCAUCUUAUUUGCUUAGAAUGAUGGUAGUAAGUAAGAUGAUCCCUUGUAAUAAUUUCAAGAAAGUGUUCCCCCUAACUGUGCACCGUUGCGAAGGUUCGUUGUUUCGAAGCACCACGUGAUGAUCGGGUGUGAUAGAUUCUAACGUUCGCAUACAACGGGUGUAAGCCAGAUUUACACACGCAAUACACUUAGGUUGACUUGAAGAGCCUAGCAUGUACAGACAUGGCCUCGGAACACGGAGGACCGAAAGGUCGAGCAUGAGUCGUAUAGAAGAUACGAUCAACAUGGAGAUGUUCACCGAUCUUGACUAGUCUGUCUCACGUGAUGAUCGGACACGGCCUAGUUACCUCGGAUCAUGUUUCACUUGGAUGACUAGAGGGAUGUCUAUCUGAGUGGGAGUUCAUUGAAUAAUUUGAUUAUAUGAACUUAAUUAUCAUGAACUUAGUCUAAAAUCUUUACAAUAUGUCUUGUAGUUCAAAUGGCCCACGUUGUCCUCAACUUCAACGCGUUCCUAGAGAAAACCAAGCUAAAAGAUGAUGGCAGCAACUAUACGGACUGGGAGGGAGGGCAGCAACACAACAACCCCUGGCGCCUCCCUCUCCCCCUGCAACACCUCUCCCUCUCGCAGAAUCUCGCAGGAAGAGCUGAAAAUGGUUUUCCAAGCUCAUGCCCGGGUCGAGAUAUAUGAAGUCUCCGACAAGUUCUUCAGCUGUAAAAUGGAGGAAAAUAGUUCUGUCAGUGAGCACAUACUCAGAAUGUCUGGGUUACACAACCGCUUGUCUCAGCUGGGAGUUAAUCUCCCGGAUGACGCAGUCAUUGACAGAAUCCUUCAGUCGCUUCCACCAAGCUACAAGAGCUUUGUGAUGAACUUCAAUAUGCAAGGGAUGGAAAAGACCAUUCCUGAGGUAUAUUCAAUGCUGAAAUCAGCGGAGGUGGAGAUCAGAAAGGAACAUCAAGUGUUGAUGGUGAAUAUAACCACUAAGUUCAAGAAGGGCAAGGGUAAAAAGAACUUCAAGAAGGACGGCAAGGGAGUUGCCGCGCCCGGUAAGCCAGUUGCCGGGAAGAAGUCAAAGAAUGGACCCAAGCCUGAGACUGAGUGCUUUUAUUGCAAGGGAAGUGGUCACUGGAAGCGGAACUGCCCCAAAUACUUAGCGGACAAGAAGGCCGGCAACACCAAAGGUAUAUGUGAUAUACAUGUAGUUGAUGUGUACCUUACCAGUACUCUAGUAGCUCCUGGGUAUUUGAUACCGGUGCGGUUGCUCAUAUUGUAACUCAAAACAGGAGCUGCGGAAUAAACGGAGACUGGCAAAGGACGAGGUGACGAUGCGCGUCGGGAAUGGUUCCAAGGUCGAUGUGAUCGCCGUCGGCACGUUGCCUCUGCAUUUACCUACGGGAUUAGUUUUAAACCUCAAUAAUUGUUAUUUAGUGCCAGCUUUGAGCAUGAACAUUGUAUCUGGAUCUCGUUUAAUUCGAGAUGGCUACUCAUUUAAAUCCGAGAAUAAUGCUUGUUCUAUUUAUAUGAGAGAAUGUUUUAUGGUCAUGCCCCGCUGGUCAAUGGUUUAUUCUUGAUGAAUCUCGAACGUGAUGUUACACAUAUUCAUAGUGUGAAUACCAAAAGAUGUAAAGUUGAUAACGAUAGUCCCACAUACUUGUGGCACUGCCGCCUUGGUCACAUUGGUGUCAAGCGCAUGAAGAAGCUCCAUGCAGAUGGACUUUUGGAGUCUCUUGAUUACGAAUCAUUUGACACGUGCGAACCAUGCCUCAUGGGUAAGAUGACCAAGACUCCGUUCUCCGGAACAAUGGAGCGAGCAACCAACUUAUUGGAAAUCAUACAUACCGAUGUGUGCAGUCCAAUGAGUGUUGAGGCUCGCGGAGGAUAUCGUUAUGUUCUCACUCUCACUGAUGACUUAAGUAGAUAUGGGUAUGUCUACCUAAUGAAACACAAGUCUGAAACCUUUGAAAAGUUCAAGGAAUUUCAGAGUGAGGUUGAGAAUCAACGUGACAGGAAAAUAAAGUUCUUACGAUCAGAUCGUGGAGGAGAAUAUUUAAGUCACGAAUUUGGUACACACUUAAGGAAAUGUGGAAUCGUUUCACAACUCACGCCGCCUGGAACACCUCAGCAAAAUGGUGUGUCCGAACGUCGUAAUCGCACUCUAUUGGAUAUGGUGCGGUCUAUGAUGUCUCUUACCGAUCUACCGCUCUCAUUUUGGGGCUAUGCUUUCGAGACUGCCGCAUUUACUUUAAAUAGGGCUCCGUUGAGACGACACCGUAUGAAUUAUGGUUUGGGAAGAAACCUAAGCUGUCGUUUCUAAAAGUUUGGGGAUGCGAUGCUUAUGUCAAGAAACUUCAACCUGAAAAGCUCAAACCCAAGUCGGAGAAAUGCGUCUUCAUAGGAUACCCUAAGAAAACCAUUGGGUAUACCUUCUACCUCAGAUCCGAAGGCAAGAUCUUUGUUGCCAAGAAUGGGUCCUUUCUGGAGAAAGAGUUUCUAUCGAAAGAACUGAGUGGGAGGAAAGUGGAACUUGAUGAGGUGAUAGUCACCCCUUCCGAACCGGAAAGUAGCGCAGCGCGGGAAGAUGUUCCUGUGGUGCCUACACCGACUGGGGAGGAAGUUAAUGAUGAUGAUCAUGAAGCUUCGGAUCAAGUUACUGCUGAACUUUGAAGGUCCACAAGGACACGUUCCGCACCAGAGUGGUACGGCAACCCUGUCCUGGAAAUCAUGUUGUUAGACAACGGUGAACCUUCGAACUAUGAAGAAGCGAUGGCGGGCCCGGAUUCCGACAAAUGGCUAGAAGCCAUGAAAUCCGAGAUAGGAUCCAUGUAUGAAAACGAAGUAUGGACUUUGACUGACUUGCCCGAUGAUCGGCGAGCCAUAGAAAAUAAAUGGAUCUUUAAGAAGAAGACAGACGCGGAUGGUAAUGUGACCAUCUAUAAGGCUCGACUUGUCGCUAAGGGUUAUCGACAAGUUCAAGGGGUUGACUACGAUGAGACUUUCUCACCCGUAGCGAAGCUGAAGUCCGUCCGAAUCAUGUUAGCAAUUGCCGCAUUCUAUGAUUAUGAGAUAUGGCAAAUGGACGUCAAAACGGCAUUCCUUAACGGCUUCCUUAAGGAAGAAUUGUAUAUGAUGCAGCCGGAAGGUUUUGUCGAUCCUAAGAAUGCUAACAAAGUAUGCAAGCUCCAGCGCUCAAUCUAUGGGCUGGUGCAACCAUCUCGGAGUUGGAACAUUCGCUUUGAUGAGAUGAUCAAAGUGUUUGGGUUUACACAGACUUAUGGAGAAGCCUGUGUUUACAAGAAAGUGAGUGGGAGCUCUGUAGCAUUUCUCAUAUUAUAUGUGGAUGACAUACUAUUGAUGGGAAAUGAUAUAGAAUUCUUGGAAAGUAAAAAGGCCUAUUUGAAUAAGUGUUUUUCAAUGAAGGACCUUGGAGAAGCUGCUUAUAUAUUAGGCAUCAAGAUCUAUAGAGAUAGAUCAAGACGCCUCAUUGGUCUUUCAUAGAGUACGUACCUUGACAAGAUAUUGAAGAAGUUCAAUAUGGAUCAGUCCAAGAAGGGGUUCUUGCCUGUAUUGCAAGGUGUGCAAUUGAGCACGGCUCAAUGCCCGACCACGGCAGAAGAUAGAGAAAAGAUGAGUGUCAUCCCCUAUGCCUCGGCCAUAGGGUCUAUUAUGUAUGCCAUGCUGUGUACCAGACCUGAUGUAAACCUUGCCGUAAGUUUGGUAGGAACGUACCAAAGUAAUCCCGGCAUGGAACACUGGACAGCGGUCAAGAAUAUCCUGAAGUACCUGAAGAGGACUAAGGAUAUGUUUCUCGUUUAUGGAGGUGACGAAGAGCUCGUCGUAAAGGGUUACGUCGACGCUAGCUUCGACACAGAUCUGGAUGACUCGAAGUCACAAACCGGAUACGUGUAUAUUUUGAAUGGAGGGGCGGUAAGCUGGUGCAGUUGCAAGCAAAGCGUCGUGGCGGGAUCUACAUGUGAAGCGGAGUACAUGGCGGCCUCAGAGGCAGCACAGGAAGCGGUCUGGAUAAAGGAGUUCAUUACCGACCUAGGGGUGAUUCCCAAUGCGUCGGGCCCGAUGACUCUCUUCUGUGACAACACUGGAGCUAUUGCCCUUGCCAAGGAGCCCAGGUUUCACAGGAAGACCAGGCAUAUCAAGCGUCGCUUCAACUCCAUUCGUGAAAGUGUUCAGAAUGGAGACAUAGAUAUUUGUAAAGUACAUACGGACCUAAAUGAAGCAGAUCCGUUGACUAAACCUCUCCCUAGAGCAAAACAUGAUCAACACCAGGACGCUAUGGGUGUUCGAUUCAUCACAAUGUAACUAGAUUAUUGACUCUAGUGCAAGUGGGAGACUGUUGUAAAUAUGCCCUAGAGGCAAUAAUAAAUGGUUAUUAUUAUAUUUCUUUGUUCAUGAUAAUUGUCUAUUGUUCAUGCUAUAAUUGUGUUAUCCGGAAAUCGUAAUACAUGUGUGAAUACAUAGACCACAACGUGUCCCUAGUAAGCCUCUAGUUGACUAGCUCGUUGAUCAACAGAUAGUCAUGGUUUCCUGACUAUGGACAUUGGAUGUCAUUGAUAACGGGAUCACAUCAUUAGGAGAAUGAUGUGAUGGACAAGACCCAAUCCUAAGCAUAGCAUAAAAGAUCAUGUAGUUCGUUUGCUAGAGCUUUUCCAAUGUCAAGUAUCUUUUCCUUAGACCAUGAGAUUGUGUAACUCCCGGAUACCGUAGGAGUGCUCUGGGUGUGCCAAACGUCACAACGUAACUGGGUGACUAUAAAGGUACACUACGGGUAUCUCUGAAAGUGUCUGUUGGGUUGGCACGGAUCGAGACUGGGAUUUGUCACUCCGUGUGACGGAGAGGUAUCUCUGGGCCCACUCGGUAAUGCAUCAUCAUAAUGAGCUCAAUGUGACUAAGGAGUUAGCCACGGGAUCAUGCAUUACGGUACGAGUAAAGAGACUUGCCGGUAACGAGAUUGAACAAGGUAUUGGGAUACCGACGAUCGAAUCUCGGGCAAGUAACAUACCGAUUGACAAAGGGAAUUGAAUACGGGAUUGAUUGAAUCCUCGACAUCGUGGUUCAUCCGAUGAGAUCAUCGUGGAACAUGUGGGAGCCAACAUGGGUAUCCAGAUCCCGCUGUUGGUUAUUGACCAGAGAGGCGUCUCGGUCAUGUCUGCAUGUCUCCCGAACCCGUAGGGUCUACACACUUAAGGUUCGGUGACGCUAGGGUUGUAGAGAUAUGUGUAUGCGGAAACCCGAAAGUUGUUCGGAGUCCCGGAUGAGAUCCCGGACGUCACGAGGAGUUCUGGAAUGGUUCGGAGGUGAAGAAUUAUAUAUGGGAAGUCCAGUUUCGGCCAUAGGGAAAGUUUCGGGGGUUAUCGGUAUUGUACCGGGACCACUGGAAGGUUCCCGGGGGUCCACCGGGUGGGGCCACCUAUCCCGGAGGGCCCCAUGGGCUGAUGUGGGAAGGGAAGCAGCCCUUAGUGGGCUGGGGCGCCCCCCCUUGGGCCUCCCCCUGCGCCUAGGGUUGGAAACCCUAGGGGUGGGGGGCGCCCCACUUGGCUUGGGGGGGAAGCCACCCCCUUUCCCCCUUGGCCGCCCCCCCCAUGUAGAUGGGUUCUAGGCCGGCGCCCCCCCUCCCAGGGGGGCUAUAUAUAGUGGGGGGAGGGAGGGCAGCAACACAACAGCCCCUGGCGCCUCCCUCUCCCCCUGCAACACCUGCCGAGAUCCCGCUACAUCCACCACCACGCCGUCGUGCUGCUGGAUCUCCAUCAACCUCUCCUUCCCCCUUGCUGGAUCAAGAAGGAGGAGACGUCGCUGCUCCGUACGUGUGUUGAACGCGGAGGUGCCCUCCGUUCGGCACUCGGUCAUCGGUGAUUUGGAUCACGGCGAGUACGACUCCAUCAACCCCGUUCAUUGGAACGCUUCCGCUCGCGAUCUACAAGGGUAUGUAGAUGCACUCCUUUCCCCUCGUUGCUAGUAUACUCCAUAGAUGGAUCUUGGUGAUGCGUAGGAAAUUUUAAAAGUCUGCUAUGAUCCCCAACAGUGCGGCCCUGCCCUGGCCUCCUCUCCUCUCUUCCACCUAGGCCCACUAAGGCCCAUUAAGUUACCGGGGGGUUCCGGUAACCUCCCGGUACUCCGAAAAAAUCCCGAUUUCACCCGGAACACUUCCGAUAUCCAAACAUAGGCUUCCAAUAUAUCAAUAUUUAUGUCUCGACCAUUUCGAGACUCCUCGUCAUGUCCGUGAUCACAUCCGGGACUCCGAACAACCUUCGGUACAUCAAAACAUAUAAACUCAUAAUAUAACUGUCAUCGUAACGUUAAGCGUGCGGACCCUACAGGUUCGAGAACUAUGUAGACAUGACCGAGACACCUCUCCGGUCAAUAACCAAUAGCAGAACCUGGAUGCUCAUAUUGGCUCCCACAUAUUCUACGAAGAUCUUUAUCGGUCAGACCGCAUAACAACAUACGUUGUUCCCUUUGUCAUCGGUAUGUUACUUGCCCGAGAUUCGAUCGUUGGUAUCUCGAUACCUAGUUUAAUCUCGUUACCGGCAAGUCUCUUUACUCGUUUCGUAAUACAUCAUCCCGCAACUAACUCAUUAGUUACAAUGCUUGCAAGGCUUAUAGUGAUGUGUAUUACUGAGUGGGCCCAGAGAUACCUUUCCGACAAUCGGAGUGACAAAUCCUAAUCUCGAAAUACGCCAACCCAACAAGUACCUUUGGAGACACCUGUAGAGCACCUUUAUAAUCACCCAGUUACGUUGUGACGUUUGGUAGCACACAAAGUGUUCCUCCGGUAAACGGGAGUUGCAUAAUCUCAUAGUCAUAGGAACAUGUAUAAGUCAUGAAGAAAGCAAUAGCAACAUACUAAACGAUCGAGUGCUAAGCUAACGGAAUGGGUCAAGUCAAUCACAUCAUUCUCCUAAUGAUGUGAUCUCGUUAAUCAAAUGACAACUCAUGUCUAUGGCUAGGAAACAUAACCAUCUUUGAUCAACGAGCUAGUCAAGUAGAGGCAUACUAGUGACACUCUGUUUGUCUAUGUAUUCACACAUGUAUUAUGUUUCCGGUUAAUACAAUUCUAGCAUGAAUAAUAAACAUUUAUCAUGAUAUAAGGAAAUAAAUAAUAACUUUAUUAUUGCCUCUAGGGCAUAUUUCCUUCAAAUAUUUAACCCGGAGCACAACCUAUCAAGUUUGUUCUUGUGUUUAUUUUACAGGAUCAGUUUAACAUGGAUGUAUCCAAAUUAAACAGGGGGCUAAUGUCGGGGAUAUACCCCGCGGUAUGACCCGGCCGGGAGUAUGACCCGGCCGGACUUGGCGCUUCAUCGUAACCCGAUGGAGGAUUGGCGACUCAUGAGCCUAGUGAUUUAAUGAUGGCCCCGAUGGCGGAUCAGACAGAAGAGUAGGCCCAAGGCCCAGAAGGCCGGCUCAUGUUAUGGUGGGCCGGUUUAUGAGGAAAGGCAUAAGGAAUAUUCUCCUACCAAGGAAGCAAGACCCGGACUUGUAUUCAACUUGUAAGAAAAGAUAGACUAGUCUUAGUCCUACUAGGACUCCGCAUGUAACCCGCCCCUCUAACUUAUAUAAGGAGGGGCAGGGCACCCCAAAGAGGGACAGACAAGACAAGAAACAAUCUCUAGGGCUAAACACCGAGAGCCGGUUCCCGGCGACUCUCCCGUGAUCAUAAUGAGACCUAACCUCAAACAACAUGUAGGGUUAUUACCGGAUGAUGUUUCCCGGGGCCCGAAGUUGUCUAAAUCCUUGUCUUGUGUUGCGUGUCCCGAUUCCGCUCAACCCCUCUCAAGCUACCACAUAGAUGCGUUGGCCUCGCGACUAAAUCCUGACACUAAGGACAUCUGCCGUGACAAUUCCACGACAGUUGGCGCCCAGCGUGGGGCUACGGGCGCGUGGAUUCAGAUGUCGAUGGGUCCAAUCUUCAUCAAAAACAGCUGUCGUCGCCGCAUCAAACCAGUGUCUUGUGCGCUUGGGCAGCUUUAUCCACAUAGGCGCGGGAUUCGACAUCAACUUCAAAUCGAGAUCAGAAUUCUAGUGGUGGUGUACAUCAGGAGGAAAAGAAAAUUUUCUAGCGGUGACCGAGCGAUCCUCAGGACCAAAUCCGGUUGCCAUAGAUCUCCAGAUGCCUGUCAGUUUGGCACCACCAUGACUCCCCGCGGUACAGAUGACUGCAUCAAUAAAAAAAUAAAGGCCAUGGCGGCGCAGUAAAGGGCAUCAAGGAAACCGAGAGCAGCAGCAAGCCUGAUGAAGGCCGCUCCUAGUGCUGCCACGCCCCCCUACAGGAACAAGAGGCCGCAGUCUCCUGAGAUCAUUGGACAUCGGCUGAUAUUCACCAAGAGUCCAUGACCGAGGCGGACUCUGCAGCACCAGGCAAUUUAUUCAGUGCAGGAAAGAUCGAGCCUGAAACAGUUUAAAAUCCCGUUGUCCGAAGAAGACCACAAGAAGGACGGGUACUACAUCGACAAUAAUCAUCAUGGCCAGUCUGCUACACACAUCGCCUGAACAAACAUCACAAAAAUACAAAACCAAUGUUCAGCGGCGGUGAUAGCAACGCAGUCCAUAUGCACCAAGUAGUACUACACUUGAUGUGCAUCAAGUCCAUCCGCGCAGGCCCCAAGAAAUCAGGAAAACAAUUAGUGCCACUUAUACUACAACAGAAGGCACAAGUCCCAAAGUGGCAUGGCUUCACGUGGGUUCAAGAGCAAUAUAGAUCAUCAGUACGCAUCAGACUGUAUAAUUUCUACUGCGGUUUACAGCUUCCGAUGAAUUCUCAGAUCCGUCGCUUCCACGAGCUCCAAACUUGUCGCACGGAUCUCUCGACAAAAUUCGUCGCACGGGCCCCUACUAUGGAUCCUCACGUGAACCUCGACGCACAGCGAGCCGACGACGCCUACGAUCCGGCCUGCACCAUCAAAACUGAGACCUAUGCCUGACGUACAUGCGCGCAGUUCCAGCGGACCAGUCUACAUCAAAGACACUGGAGCCGGAAGCCGCAUCAGCGUCUGUCCAUACGGCAGCGCCCGAUAGAUAUGCGCACAGUGCGUCGUCCCGCGGUUUGGCCUACUGCAACAUGUCGGAGCUAAAAAAGAAUCAAGAUGAUAGCCCGUGCGUGCCAGAUGAUAGCCCGUGCGUGCCUCUCCACCUUGAAAUUUUUUGACUUCAAUCGCGGCCGGUUUCGCCAACAUCGUGACCUUCUUCGAGACCAACCAAGUUGGCUUGCACUGCGCCAUCUCCUGUUCGGCGGUUUUUUCUGCUACACGUCUUCAAAAAUUCCAGCUUCCGCCGCCGGCUCGAACCGUCAGCUGGGUUACCGAUUUGUGACUCCUACGCGGGAUCGUCUACUGCCUCGCUAUGGUCGACCCCAACGGUCCGCUGGCUUAUGCCACAUCAUAAAAAUAAGCUAAGUCACUUUUAUAUUUUAAUUUUGUUUUUUUCAAUAAAUUAAAUAUAUCCGACACAUUUGAGUUAAUCUCAGGGGCUAUCGUUUCUUCUCAUAAAGUUGAGUCGUAAGGUUACCAAAGAGGACUAUUUGCCACGAUGCACAGUUCAAACAUGGGUGCCCUACAUAGCAGCGCAAUAAUUUGACGUUCGUUCUUUACUAAGUCAGAUGCAACUCGUAACCGACCAAGUAGUGGGUAUGGUAUUGUCAAUCGACUCGGAUGCCUAUCAUGGACUUUGUCGACCCUAAACAUAUCAUAUUCCAUGAAAAAAGUCCACGCGCAAGCCUACUUAGUCGAUUCGAACGAUUAACAACUUGAACACAAGUUGACAAAGUCAUCGAAAUUAUUAUUUAAUUUUGUUUUAUACAUCACGAACGAUGUAAUGCAUUCAUGUGUUUUAUUUCAGGAACAAAGAGCAUCAAGACGACUCCUCGAGUCGCCUCGAGCUUCAGGGGCUAUCAAGCUAGAAUUUGUGAAAAAACAGACUUUGUUUGUUACCGAAACACAAGUUCACAGACCCCCGGGUUGUUAAAGGCCUAAACAAACCCAGCGCUCGGGGGCUACAGAUUAUAUACAUGCUAUUGGAGUUGGAAACAAUUCGGAAAGACCUGGCUAGGGAAGACCCGGCUUGGAGACAGAAUCCAGCCUGGGAGGACAACCCAACAACAUCAACAUCGACGCUUCAUGACCCGACAAUCUCUUCAUCCACAUUUCGGCAUCAAUUACGUCAAUGACCCGGCAAAAAGCUCCGCGUUCAAGGAAGACAAAAGCAUCAACAAAAUCAAGACCUUUCGCCCGACUCUUCGAGUCACCCGAAAGCUUGGGGGCUACUGUCGUGGAUAUGGGACACGGGUAUCCUCAUGGAGGUAGGCCGCGGCCCAUCAUGGGAGGUGGCCCAGCAGGCCGACUUAAACACUUUGAAUAAGACCUGGAUUGAUAUCCACCUUGUAAUUGAAAAGAGACUAGUCCUAAUCCUACUAGGACUCUACAUGUAAGCCGGCCCCUUCAACUUAUAUAAGGAGGGGCAAGGCUCCCCAAGAGGGACAAGUAAGAAGCUCAAUAAUCUCUAGGGCUAGACACAACUAGAGGAGAGCCGGCUUAUACAGCGACUCCCUCAUGAGCAUACGGAAUAAGACCUAGCCACAAACAGCAUGUAGGGUUAUUACCGGAUGAUGUUUCCCGGGGCUCGAAGCUGUCUAAAUCCUUGUCUUGUGUUGUGUCUCUCGAUUCCGCUCAACCCCUCUCAAGCUACCACAUAGAUGCGUUGGCCUCGCGACUAAGUCCUGACACUAAGGACAUCUGCCGUGAUAAUUCCACGACAGAACCCAUGGCCUCGGACUACCAUUCGGGUGGACCAACGGCGUUCCGACAAAACCGAUCUACUGCCAUGACACUCUCCCGGCCACUCUGACUCACUCCCCUCUGGGCUAAGUCAUGGGUGGCCCUGUGUCUACCUCAAGACACAACGACCACCGUCGUGGCCCAAAACAAUAAACCAUCCCAAACGGGGACAUGUGCACAUAACAACAACAACGGGCACACAAGGCUUAUGUCCGCCUACCUGAUCAGGGUAGCACGCGCCCAUAACCUUCCCUCGUUGGAGGCACCGGCGAGAGGCACAACAAUAGACCCAGUUAGGACCGUCCCAUACCGGUAAGCGUGGUUGCAUUGGUCAGCAUCGAUUCAGCGGCACCAUGACUCAGCUAACAGUUGUUCAAGUUCAAUUUAAUCCGAUUAACUUGAAUGCAAAUAUGCUGAGCCAUGAUAAAAAUGCAUGAACAUGAUAUCAAUAUAAUCAUGAGGGUAUCACAUAACUAUCCACCAUAUCAACAAUAAAUCAUAUCCACUGAGCAUGGCAUACUGACUAGCAUGACCAUCACCAACAUCAACAUGUACUACUGGCAAGUAUAAACAUAUGAAAGGAAAUACUAGCAGGUAGAACAUGAUAACAGAGUACAAGACAACCUAGCACAAAAGUGAACAUGCAAAUCUAAACAUCAUCGGAACAACGAUAACCAUCUUUUCAACAAGCAAACAUUUAAUAAAGAUUCAAGUUGAAAACCAUGGCUACUGCAUGACUAUCAUGCAAGUGGGUAUUGUGGCUUGCCUGGGGUGGAAGAAAUCAGCGGGAGAAAGUGUGAGAAGCUCGCGGAAUGAAUCGCUAGAAAACGUUCUCUCUCGGAGAGGGCUGAAUAAGGGCAAGGGCAUAAUGGUCAUUUUCACAAUGUCAAACCAUAGUGAAAGCAUGGCCAACAGAACGGGCUCGACCAAACGAAGAAGUAGGCUUUGGAUUCACCUCAUUUGGAGCUACGGUUAAAAAGUUAUGGAGGAUUGAAGUUCAGGGACUUUUCUGUAAAAAUUUCAUCACAAACAAGUCCCUGAGUGGAUAAGGAAGAAACACAAAGUUAGAAAUACGCUUCCGGUCAGCGAAAACGUAAAACG